CAAAUUUCUGUAGUUUUCACAGCAUUAUUACUGUAAAAUGGGCAAAUGCUUACUGUAAAACCUGUAUACAGCAUGUUACUGUAGAUCUGCAAAGCAUCACGGUAAAUUUUCAAGGGCGGGAAAAUUCUACAGUAAAAAUAUUUUUUUCUGUGAAUCACAAUACAGCAAUUUCUAGAGGAUUUUUUUUUUUCUAGCCAUGGAAAGCUGAAAAUCUAGAUUCCUCACUUUCAUUGGAAUUCUAACUUCAGAAAGCCGGAGUUUUCUCUGCCCAGCUAACGUCAACUGUCUGUCACCGCCGACACCGUGUGCGUGCGCGUGAAGCAGUGAAGUCCAGACUCGACAGAAAACGCAGUUAGAGCAGACGUUGAAGGCCCAGAUUUCCCUGCCAAGCACUCUAAGACUCAUCAUGCUCGGAGAGUCCAUUCUGGGGGCAAAUAGGUGGAUGCUUUCCAUCGAGGGCAGAGUUCUCCAACCAAGUGACCGUUCCAAAUUCACUUCUGCUCUGGCUGUGCUUUUUGCAUCAUACUAUAUAUUUAACAUGGAAUAUCCUGCGGAGGCAGCCACUACAUUAGAAUUUAUCCAGAGGGUAGAAGACUCCAGCCCAGGAAAUUGACUAAUUCAGGCCCGUUUCUGAAGAAAAAUACAGUUCUGGGAGAAAAACAACAUUCAGGGACCAAAUUCUACUGUUUGAAAUCCUGCUGUUUCUAAAUAAUUUAAUUUGCCUUUUAUACAUUUUAAUUGUAACCGAACAUAUUAAUGCAUUUGAACAGGAUUGAUUUGUAUGUUCAGAAAAGUGUUGUUGAAUACAAAACGAAAUGAAAUGUUAACAGAAAAAUGUUGACCUAUUGAAGAUUUUUUUUUCGCUAUGCUAUUUUUAUUUUAUGAAUUUAGAAAUUAAAAGCGUGAAAAGUUAUCAAUAAAUGGAAUUUUUUGUGGCAAAAACAGUGUCUUCAUUUUACAGUACACAAAAUUAAUGCUGUAAUCCUUAUUACAGUAGUAAAAUAUAUGAGUUGAUGAAACAGUACUGUGAUUAUUACUGUAAAAAAUUUACAGUA
Long non-coding RNA from Carassius auratus (goldfish), 1055 nucleotides. RefSeq lists it as uncharacterized. NCBI's taxonomy places the organism in Eukaryota, Metazoa, Chordata, Actinopteri, Cypriniformes, Cyprinidae. The transcript is spliced from 5 exons. The record is from RefSeq and is a predicted model, not a curated record.